CAGCACCUCAAGUGGUCAGGAUGAUUAUUGGGCCUAAAGCAUCCGUAGCCGGCGCUGUAAGUUUUCGGUUAAAUCUGUACGCUCAACGUACAGGCUGCCGGGAAUACUGCAGCGCUAGGGAGUGGUAGAGGUAGACGGUACUCGGUAGGAAGGGGUAAAAUCCUUUGAUCUAUUGAUGACCACCUGUGGCGAAGGCGGUCUACCAGAACACGUCCGACGGUGAGGGAUGAAAGCUGGGGGAGCAAACCGGAUUAGAUACCCGAGUAGUCC
This 270-nucleotide ribosomal RNA is filed under the name uncultured archaeon. Its description in RNAcentral is "partial 16S ribosomal RNA". It matches the Rfam family "Archaeal small subunit ribosomal RNA", at positions 477 to 747 of the family's 1478-position model. The record is from RNAcentral.